UGGGGAAUUUUGGACAAUGGGCGAAAGCCUGAUCCAGCAAUGCCGCGUGUGUGAAGAAGGCCUUCGGGUUGUAAAGCACUUUUGUCCGGAAAGAAAUGGCUCUGGUUAAUACCUGGGGUCGAUGACGGUACCGGAAGAAUAAGGACCGGCUAACUACGUGCCAGCAGCCGCGGUAAUACGUAGGGUCCAAGCGUUAAUCGGAAUUACUGGGCGUAAAGCGUGCGCAGGCGGUUGUGCAAGACCGAUGUGAAAUCCCCGAGCUUAACUUGGGAAUUGCAAUGGUGACUGCACGGCUAGGGUGUGUCAGAGGGGGGUAGAAUUCCACGUGUAGCAGUGAAAUGCGUAGAGAUGUGGAGGAAUACCGAUGGCGAAGGCAGCCCCCUGGGAUAACACUGACGCUCAUGCACGAAAGCGUGGGGAGCAAACAGG
Molecule: ribosomal RNA, 429 nt
Filed under: Bacillota bacterium
Lineage: Bacteria; Bacillati; Bacillota
Description: Firmicutes bacterium partial 16S ribosomal RNA
Rfam family: Bacterial small subunit ribosomal RNA
Source: RNAcentral